GACGUAGGGCGCGAGCGUUGUCCGGAUUUAUUGGGCGUAAAGAGCUCGUAGGCGGCUUGUUGCGUCGACUGUGAAAGCCCGCGGCUUAACUGCGGGCUUGCAGUUGAUACGGGCAGGCUAGAGUUCGGUAGGGGAGACCGGAAUUCCUGGUGUAGCGGUGAAAUGCGCAGAUAUCGGGAGGAACACCAAUGGCGAAGGCAGCUCGCUGGAACGGUACUGACGCUGAGGCGCGAAAGCGUGGGGAGCGAACAGG
RNAcentral lists this ribosomal RNA (253 nucleotides) under uncultured bacterium. Its description in RNAcentral is "partial 16S ribosomal RNA". It matches the Rfam family "Bacterial small subunit ribosomal RNA", at positions 524 to 776 of the family's 1533-position model. The record is from RNAcentral.